Molecule: long non-coding RNA, 255 nt
Filed under: Phoenix dactylifera (date palm)
Lineage: Eukaryota; Viridiplantae; Streptophyta; Magnoliopsida; Arecales; Arecaceae
Description: long non-coding RNA (PDAC_LNC001001)
Source: RNAcentral
CAAACGUCACCAUUACAUGCCUAUUGUUCUUAGGAAGGUUUUGAUAUUAGUACUCAGCACAAGAUCCUAUGGAGGACUCCAUAUACAUUAAAUGCCUUCAAAGAGGGUGAGAAUGAGGGACUUCUGGACCUGAAUUUUAUUUCCAUCAGGUCAAAUGUCAAUAUACAUAAAAAACUCAAAAGUGAACUGACUAGUUCGAUCUUUACAUUAGUGAACUAAGUCAGGGCAAAAGGUACUGAGAUUUCUUUAUUGGAU